RNAcentral lists this non-coding RNA (230 nucleotides) under Halobacillus karajensis. Lineage: Bacteria; Bacillati; Bacillota; Bacilli; Caryophanales; Bacillaceae. The record is from RNAcentral.
UCAACGGCUUGGAAAAGGAUACGAACAUAGAGUGACGCAAGACCAGAGAGAGGAGCCAUAGGCUGGAAGUUCCUUGUUGACGACUUUAUUGUUUACCACCUUGGAGCCCUGUCUGUGAACAUUUUAUUAGUAAUGGGCAGCGUUUGAUCCGCGUUAAGGAAAAUGAGCCGUAAGGGUAGAACCCUGCGGGAAUUUGGGUGGAACCACGAGUGACAACGCUCGUCCCUUAG